CCACAACUCCAAGAAACAUACAAUUCUUCACUUCCGUUUGAUAGGGUAGUCUCAAACGGAGCUCAUCUAGUUUGUUCUCCAGUGAUUGUACGUGCCAAGCGAACGGAGGGUAGAAGAGGUUUAUGAACUCCUUGACAUGGUUUCGUCUGGGUGCCCAGUGCCCAUACGUCAGCUUUUCUCACACCGCCUUUUUCUUUUCAGAGUCUCUGGGACUAGGGCCUGGCCCGGGGUGAGCAGUAUGUCCUGCGCCUCCGAAUCUUUGAAGUACAAAUCUUCAUCCGAAACGAGAGACUAUUACAGCGGCUCUCCGAAGAAAAUAUUACGGUCACUUUUUUCACACUGAUAUCAUGGAGUAACCAUGGUAACAGCGGAUGUUUAAGCAAGCGGAGGCCUACCUCCUACCUGUUUAUAACGCAAUAGGCUACAACCCAAGGUGAAGAAGCCGGAUGUGGAGGUCUUGGGCUGGCGUGGUUAUACAUGGUCUGCAGCUGUGAGGCCGGUUGGAAGUACUGCCAAAUUCUCUAAAACGACAUUGGCGGCAGCUUAUGGUGGAGAAAUUAACAUUCAAUUCUCUAGCAACAGCUCUGGUGGACAUUUCUGCAGUCAACAUGCCAAUUGCACACUCCCUCAAAACUUGAGACAUCUGUGUCAUUGUGUUGUGUGACAAAACUGCACAUUUUAAAGUGGCAUUUUAUUGUCCCCAGCACAAGGUGCACCUGUGUAAUGAUCAUGCUGUUUAAUCAGCUUCUUGAUAUGCCACACCUGUUAGGUGGAUGGAUGAUAUUGGCAAAGGAGAAAUGCUCACUAACAUUGAUGUAAACCGAUUUGUGCAGAAUAUUUGAGAGAAAUAAGCUUAUUGUGCAUAUGGAAAAUGUCUGAGAUUUUUUAAUUUUAGCUCAUAAAACAUGGGACCAGGACUUUACAUGUUGCAUUUAUAUUUUUGUUCAGUGUAAAUGGUAUUGAUUGAGGCUACCAGUACUCUUCAAGUGAUUGUUAGUGAUAUAGCACCAUCUUGUGGUACAUUUUCACACUGGCGACUUCACAGAGUUUGUCAUAUUGGUUCGGGGAAAGUUGAAUGCCUUUAUUAUGUUGUUACCUUCUAUAAUGAUUCAUUAUGCAUGAUCAUGCAUUAUACAUUUAAGGGUAAUCUGCAGUUGCUACAGAUGUAGGAUCUUAAUUUGAUCAUUUUUUUGGUGAGCAUAUUCAUGCACAGCAGGAUACUUUAAACUUCAGUUUUAAAACAGCUUCUAAAGUUAGUCAUUUCCACUUAGAAAUCUCAGACUUGAUUUGCCCUAAGAAAAAUCUAUCAACCCCAACAAAAAUGUCUGUUAAUUAUAAUCCACAUAAUUCACAUUUCUUGUUGCUGCAGCAUUAUUUUCAUGCUGUAUCAAACUGGCUCAAAUUGAGAUCCUACAUCCAUUUGUGUAUUUAUAAAUGAAUGAUACAGUGCCUUAAGAAAGUAUUCCCACCCCUUGACUUUUUCAACAUUUUGUUGUGUUACAGCCUGAAUUUAAAAUGGAUUAAAUUUAGAUAUUUUUUUUGUCACUGAUGUACGCACAAUACACCAUAAUCGUAAAGUGGAAUUAUGUUUUUAGAAAUGUUUACAAAUUAAUUAAAAAUUAAAAGCUGAAAUGUCUUGAGUCAAUAAAGCAUUCAACCCUUUUAUUAUGGCCUAAAUUAGUUCAAGAGUUAAACCUGCUUAACAAGUCACACAAUAAGUUGCAUGGACUCACUCUGUGUGCAAUAAAAGUGUUUAACAUGACUUUUAAAUGACUACCUCAUCUCUGUACCCCCACACAUACAAUUAUCUGUAAGGCCCCUUAGUCGAGCAGUGAAUGUUAAGCACAGAUUCAACCACAAAGACUAGGGAGGUUUUCCAAUCGUUUGCGAAGAAGGGCACUUAUUGGUAGAUGGAAUACAAUUACAAAUUUAAAAAACUUUAGAUGGUGUAUCAAUACACCCAGUCACAACAAAGAUUCAGGCAUCAUUCCUAACUCAGUUGCCGGAGAGGAAAGAAACUGCUCAAGGAUUUCACCAUGAGGCCAAUGGUGACUUUAAAACAGUUAGAGUUUAAUGGUUGUGAUAGGAGAAAUUGACCAACAACAUUGUGGUUACUCCACAAUACUAACCUAAAUUGCUAAAGGACAGUGAAAGAAGGAAGCCUGUACAUUAUAAAAAUAUUCCAAAUCAUGCAUCCUGUUUGCAAUAAGGCACUAAAGUAAUAUUGUGAAAAAAAAUGUGGCAAAGAAAUGUUCCUUUAUGUCCUGAAUACAAAACAUUACUGUAUGUUUGGGGCAAAUCCAACACAUCACUGAGUACCGCUCUUCAUAUUUUCAAGCACGGUGGUGGCUGCAUCAUGUUAUUAUUAUUGCACACAGCUGUCAAAGGUGAUGCUAACAUGUAUUGACACAGCGGGUUGAAUACUUAGCUAAUCAAGAUAAAUGAAUGUUUUAUUUUCCAUACAUUUUUUUAAACAAAUGUUACAGUAUUUUGUGUAGGUCGUUGACAAAAAAAUAAUAAUAAUAAUUUUGAAUUUGAAUCCCACUUUGUAACACAACAAAAUGUGUAAAAAGUCAAGGGGUAUGAAGACUUUCUGAAGGCACAACAAAAUGUUUAAAAAGUCAAGUGCGUGAAUACCCGUUGCCCAUUUAUUCUUGAAGAAUAUAACAUAUAAAUGCCUCAUAAGCUUAGUUCAACUGCCGUACCCCAUCAGAACCAAAAUAUAAGCUUGUUUUACUCCAAUGUUUGUAAACAUUGCAAAUGUAAACAAACAAACAAACCAAAACCAAUUGUAUUGGUAUACACAUAUUUAGCUACAAAACAUACUUUGAUAUAUUGGGUAUAUCUAUGCAUUUUAGAGUGGUUACAUUUCUCCAGGCUCUUCCCUCCGUUUUUUUUUUACCAAUACAGAGACUGUCCCUUUAACUCAGAAAUGGAUUUCUCAAACAAUAUGUAGCCUACAUAUUCGAGUUGAUUAUUAAGGACAGAAUGGUGGUCUUGCCGCCAUCUCCAUGGUCCCAUAGUCUUCAGUUGGACUGUUUCACUUCUGACUGGUUGAUUGGUUGGCUGUGGUGUAGAGGGCGAGAGGGAGAAAAUAAGAAAUGCAAGAUCAUUGUUGUUUUGUCUAUGGGAAAUGUGAUUUAUUGAUAGGUUUUGAAAAAACAUUCAGACCUAGGGAAAAGUGCUAUACAAUGUAAUCCAUCAAGAAUGACAAGAUAAUAAUUGUACGGCCAGUGCCAGAAUCUCCAAUAGAUCCGUCUUUGUCAGUAGGCUUGUGUGUAUUGAAGCUAUUUCUUAACCACAAGAGGUCAGUAUUUAGUUACAUUUGCGUACACCUCAUCCGGCAUAAAAAAAAUCUAAAAAAACUCCACAGCACUUUGUGGAGAAGGAAAUUACACCCCACGUCUGUGGUUAAAUACAUGUUAUUCCAAUAAGAAUAAUUUCCCCUAUCCACAAGUGUUCCCUGUGGAGUCAGACAAUAUGGCUGCAACUUAUAUUACAUUUCAUAUAGGCGUCAAUGUAACUUUUACUGCAGGCUUGUCUGUUAUCCAGGGUCACAGCCUGUAUAUGCACGUCUCCAAGAUUUCACCCUCGGUUUCUAAAUAUGCUUUAUGUUAUUCAGGGGCUAAGCAGUCGCAUAUCACAUUGACUUAUAUUACAAGUUCCGUCAAGUGAGCCUGCCCUUGAAAUGAGACCAUUCACAUUUCCUUCCACUUCCAAUAAGCAGUGGAAAUAGAUGUAUUGAACAGUAACAGAGAAAGAAAGAGUCUUCCCAGAGGCUGUAGUGAAUUUGAUUUGUGUUCCACUGUAAUCCUAAAUUCGAUGGACUUUGACAGUUGUAUCGUUGUGGUUUUCUUGGAAAAUGUCAUCUCUUUCCUGACUUAUGUUAAGUUUUGUUUCAAUCUGUUUUAUUGAGUUUUGAGCAGCCAACGCCAGGAAAACCGUGUAAAUUAUAUUGAAAAAGGUCAA
Molecule: long non-coding RNA, 3969 nt
Organism: Oncorhynchus nerka (sockeye salmon)
Lineage: Eukaryota; Metazoa; Chordata; Actinopteri; Salmoniformes; Salmonidae
Exons: 2
Source: RefSeq, a predicted model, not a curated record